UACGUAGGCAGCGAGCGUUGUUCGGAGUUACUGGGCGUAAAGGGUGCGUAGGCGGUUGGGUAAGUCUGACGUGAAAUCUCCGGGCCUAACCCGGAAACUGCGUUGGAUACUAUCCGGCUAGAGGAAUGGAGGGGAGACUGGAAUACUUGGUGUAGCAGUGAAAUGCGUAGAUAUCAAGUGGAACACCAGUGGCGAAGGCGAGUCUCUGGACAUUUCCUGACGCUGAGGUACGAAAGCCAGGGGAGCAAACGGG
This 253-nucleotide ribosomal RNA is filed under the name uncultured bacterium. RNAcentral describes it as "partial 16S ribosomal RNA". It matches the Rfam family "Bacterial small subunit ribosomal RNA", at positions 524 to 776 of the family's 1533-position model. The record is from RNAcentral.